GAGGAUAUAGCUUAAGUGGUAGAGUGCAUGCUUAGCAUGCAUGAGGUCCUAGGUUCAAUCCCCAGUACCUCCA
RNAcentral lists this transfer RNA (73 nucleotides) under Camelus bactrianus (Bactrian camel). It matches the Rfam family "tRNA". From Rfam's summary of the family: Transfer RNA (tRNA) molecules are approximately 80 nucleotides in length. Their secondary structure includes four short double-helical elements and three loops (D, anti-codon, and T loops). The record is from Rfam by way of RNAcentral. RNAcentral also lists the same sequence under 3 other names. Lineage: Eukaryota; Metazoa; Chordata; Mammalia; Artiodactyla; Camelidae.